GGUGACCAUUCCGACAAGGAGAACUCGGGAGAUACAAGGAACCGGUAGAAUCGAAGCUCCACCGAAACCCUAAAGCAUUUCCCUUCGGUUGUAAGUCCAAGAACCCGAUAUAAAGGUAAAGAUAAAGGAAAAGCUAAAGUAUGAAAGGAAGGCGACAAGGAGCUGAUGGAGGUGUGAUGUGUGGACUAUGGAAGCCUUGGGACUAAGUUUUAGAAAUCUAUAAAGACUUGUAUUUAGACUAUUGGAGUUUUUGCCACCAUGUGAUGAUUUGGUUUAGCUUCUUAGAUGUUUUAUGUUUUAUAUU
Molecule: long non-coding RNA, 304 nt
Organism: Zingiber officinale
Lineage: Eukaryota; Viridiplantae; Streptophyta; Magnoliopsida; Zingiberales; Zingiberaceae
Exons: 2
Source: RefSeq, a predicted model, not a curated record